Molecule: ribosomal RNA, 281 nt
Filed under: Anabaena sp. WA113
Lineage: Bacteria; Bacillati; Cyanobacteriota; Cyanophyceae; Nostocales; Nostocaceae
Description: partial 16S ribosomal RNA
Rfam family: Bacterial small subunit ribosomal RNA
Source: RNAcentral
UGUGAUGCGAAUCUCAUAAACCGGAGCUCAGUUCAGAUCGAAGGCUGCAACUCGCCUUCGUGAAGGAGGAAUCGCUAGUAAUUGCAGGUCAGCAUACUGCAGUGAAUUCGUUCCCGGGCCUUGUACACACCGCCCGUCACACCAUGGAAGUUGGUCACGCCCGAAGUCGUUACCCCAACCUAUUGGAGGGGGAUGCCUAAGGUAGGACUGAUGACUGGGGUGAAGUCGUAACAAGGUAGCCGUACCGGAAGGUGUGGCUGGAUCACCUCCUUUUAGGGAGA